AAGGAGUCUAACAUAUCUGCGAGUAUUUGGGUGUCAAACCCGAGAGCGCAAUGAAAGUGAACGUAGGAGCCACGCGCAAGCUGCAGCUUCGACCGAUCUGGAUCUUUAGUGAUGGGUUUGAGUAAGAGCAUAUAUGUUGGGACCCGAAAGAUGGUGAACUAUGCCGGAGUAGGGUGAAGUCAGAGGAAACUCUGAUGGAGGCUCGUAGCGAUUCUAACGUGCAAAUCGUUCGUAAAACUUGGGUAUAGGGGCGAAAGACUAAUCGAACCAUCUAGUAGCUGGUUCCUGC
This 289-nucleotide unclassified non-coding RNA is filed under the name uncultured fungus. Its description in RNAcentral is "partial contains 5.8S rRNA, ITS2 and 28S rRNA". It matches the Rfam family "Eukaryotic large subunit ribosomal RNA", at positions 668 to 961 of the family's 3401-position model. The record is from RNAcentral. Lineage: Eukaryota; Fungi.